Molecule: ribosomal RNA, 497 nt
Filed under: uncultured bacterium
Lineage: Bacteria
Description: bacterial SSU rRNA
Rfam family: Bacterial small subunit ribosomal RNA
Source: RNAcentral
AGGAUGAACGCUAGCGGCAGGCUUAACACAUGCAAGUCGAGGGCAGCGCGAGGUAGCAAUACUUGGCGGCGACCGGCGGAAGGGUGCGUAACGCGUGAGCAACUUGCCCGUAUCUGGGACAUAACCGGUGGAAACGCCGACUAAUUUCCCAUAACAACAGAGAUGACAUCUUCUUUGUUUGAAAGCUUCGGUGGAUACGGAUGGGCUCGCGUGACAUUAGCUAGUUGGAGUGGUAACGGCACACCAAGGCGACGAUGUCUAGGGGUUCUGAGAGGAAGGUCCCCCACACUGGAACUGAGACACGGUCCAGACUCCUACGGGAGGCAGCAGUGAGGAAUAUUGGUCAAUGGGCGGAAGCCUGAACCAGCCAUGCCGCGUGCAAGGAAUAAGGCCCUAUGGGUCGUAAACUGCUUUUGACGGGGAGCAAUAAGGGCUACGCGUAGCCCGAUGAGAGUACUCGUCGAAUAAGCAUCGGCUAACUCCGUGCCAGCCGCCGC